This 1105-nucleotide small RNA is filed under the name uncultured bacterium. Its description in RNAcentral is "bacterial SSU rRNA". The stretch from base 1 to 476 matches the Rfam family "Bacterial small subunit ribosomal RNA", at positions 1045 to 1533 of the family's 1533-position model. The record is from RNAcentral.
AUGGCUGUCGUCAGCUCGUGUCGUGAGAUGUUGGGUUAAGUCCCGCAACGAGCGCAACCCUUACUUUUAGUUGCCACCAUUUAGUUGAGCACUCUAAAAGAACUGCCAGUGAUAAGCUGGAGGAAGGUGGGGAUGACGUCAAGUCCUCAUGGCCCUUACGUGUUGGGCUACACACGUGCUACAAUGGUAUCUACAAUGAGAUGCGAAGAGGCGACUCUAAGCCAAUCCCAAAAAGAUACCUCAGUUCGGAUUGCACUCUGCAACUCGAGUGCAUGAAGCUGGAAUUACUAGUAAUCGUGGAUCAGCGCGCCACGGUGAAUACGUUCCCGGGUCUUGUACACACCGCCCGUCACACCAUGGAAGUUGGUUACACCUUAAGGCAAAGCAUAAAACCUUUGACUACGGUACGAUCAGCGACUGGGGUGAAGUCGUAACAAGGUAGCCGUAGGGGAACCUGCGGCUGGAUCACCUCCUUUCUAAGGAAAUCGAAAAAUAUCAAAACAAUUAUUUUUCGAUUUAAAAAAAACCGGUAAUGUGACCGUCCUCAUUUCUCUUCUUUUAAUGUCUCUGAGUAAAAAUAAUGUAAGGGGCCGGUAGCUCAGGUGGUUAGAGCGCACCCCUGAUAAGGGUGAGGUCGGAAGUUCAACUCUUCCCAGACCCACCAGGUUGCCUCCACAAUAGAGGUUUACCAAUCGGGGCCAUAGCUCAGCUGGGAGAGCACCUGCUUUGCAAGCAGGGGGUCGGCGGUUCGAUCCCGCCUGGCUCCACCAGGUGAUAAACGAUAGUGAUUUAGACCACUAUCGUUUAUUUCCUGACGAAGUUGGGUCAGCGGACGCUCUUUAACAAUUUAGUAGUAGUGAUAUACGACGGUGAAGUCGAGCCUGUUUCAGGCGAGGCUUUACUGGGUAUACCAGCAUUUAUCAGUAGAUGUAUUCGAUAUAUCCCAAAGGGAUCAGUCUUUUUGGGGUUAUAUGAUCAAGCGACCAAGCGCGCAUGGUGGAUGCCUAGGUGGUAAGAGGCGACGAAGGACGUUGUAGCCUGCGAUAAGCCUCGGGGAGCCGGCAAACAGGCUUUGAUCCGAGGAUUUCCGAAUGGGGAAACCCGG